RNAcentral lists this ribosomal RNA (459 nucleotides) under uncultured bacterium. RNAcentral describes it as "partial 16S ribosomal RNA". It matches the Rfam family "Bacterial small subunit ribosomal RNA", at positions 338 to 795 of the family's 1533-position model. The record is from RNAcentral.
CCUACGGGAGGCAGCAGUGAGGAAUAUUGGUCAAUGGCCGGAAGGCUGAACCAGCCAAGCCGCGUGAAGGACGAAGGUGCCAAGCAUUGUAAACUUCUUUUGUCAAGGGACAAAAUCAUCCUCUAUAGCCUGACCGAGGUUACUUGAAGAAAAACCAUCGGCUAACUCCGUGCCAGCAGCCGCGAUAAUACGGAGGAUGCGAGUGUUUCCGGGUUUUUUGGGGUUAAAGGUGUGCGUAGGCGGGAGGUGAAGUCAGCGGUAAAAGCCCGGGGCUCAAGGCGGGCGAGCCGUUGAGACUGGCUGUCGUGAGAGGUCGUGAGGUAUGAGGAAUGCGCGGUGUAGCGGUGAAAUGCUUAGAUAUUGCGCAGAACACCGAUUGCGAAGGCAGCAUACGGGCGGCGAUUUGACGCUGAGGCACGAAAGCGUGGGUAUCGAACAGGAUUAGAUACCCGGGUAGUC